Non-coding RNA from Triticum aestivum (bread wheat), 135 nucleotides. The record is from Rfam. Lineage: Eukaryota; Viridiplantae; Streptophyta; Magnoliopsida; Poales; Poaceae.
UUAUUACUCCCUCCGUCCCAAAAUUCUUGUCUUAGAUUAGUCUAGAUACGGAUGUAUCUAAUACUAAAAUGCGACUUGAUACAUCCGUAUUUAGACAAAUCUAAGACAAGAAUUUUGGGACGGAGGGAGUAUGAA